GAUGAAGAACGUAGCGAAAUGCGAUAAGUAAUGUGAAUUGCAGAAUUCAGUGAAUCAUCGAAUCUUUGAACGCAUCUUGCGCUCCUUGGUAUUCCUUGGAGCAUGCCUGUUUGAGUAUCAUGAGCAAAUCUCAAAGUCAAUUCCUUUUGUUGAUUCAAUUGGUUUUGCUUUGGACUUGGAGGCAUUGCAGAUUUCACAGUCUGCUCCUCUUAAAUGCAUUAGCUGGAUCUCAGUAAUUAUGCUUGGUUCCACUCGGCGUGAUAAGUAUCACUCGCUGAGGACACUGUUAAAAAGGUGGCCAGGAAAAUACUGAUUGAACCGCUUCUAACGGUCUAUUAAGUUAGACAAUUACCCUUAAGUUUGAUCUCAAAUCAGGUAGGACUACCCGCUGAACUUAAGCAUAUCAAUAAGCGGAGGA
Molecule: unclassified non-coding RNA, 418 nt
Filed under: soil metagenome
Description: partial contains 5.8S ribosomal RNA, internal transcribed spacer 2, and large subunit ribosomal RNA
Rfam family: 5.8S ribosomal RNA (bases 1-120)
Source: RNAcentral